AGAGUUUGAUCAUGGCUCAGGAUGAACGCUGGAGGCGUGGCUAAGGCAUGCAAGUCGAACGAGAUCAUUGUUGUAGCAAUACUUCGAUGGUUAAGUGGCAAACGGGAGCGUAACACAUUGGUAAUCUACCUUUUUCUCACGAACAACUCAUGGAAACGUGAGCUAAUACGUGAUACGGAUGAGGGGCCGCAGGGCAUUCUCAUUGAAAGAUUUAUCGGAAAAAGAGGAACCUAUGGUCCAUCAGCUAGUUGGCGGGGUAACGGCCCACCAAGGCUAUGACGGAUACCAGGCGCGAGAGCGUGACCUGGCUCAAUGGGACUGAGACACUGCCCAUACACCUACGGGUGGCUGCAGUCGCGAAUAUUCCACAAUGGACGAAAGUCUGAUGGAGCGACGCCUCGUGUCGGAAGAAGGCCCUCGGGUCGUAAACGACUUUUAUGAGGGAAGAAUCAUGACGGUACCUCAUGAAUAAGUGGUUGCUAACUCUGUGCCAGCAGCAGCGGUAAUACAGAGACCACAAGCGUUAUCCGGAUUUAUUGGGCGUAAAGAGUUCGUAGGCGGUUUUGUAAGUUAUUCGUUAAAUCCUCAGGCUUAACCUGGGGGCUGCGGGUAAUACUGCAAGGCUAGAGUAUGGGAGAGGCAAGCGGAAUGCCCGGUGUAGCGGUAAAAUGCGUUAAUAUCGGGUAGAACACCAAAGGCGAAGGCAGCUUGCUGGAACAUUACUGACGCUCAAGAACGAAAGCGUGGGGAGCGAAAGGGAUUAGAUACCCCUGUAGUCCACGCCGUAAACUAU
Molecule: ribosomal RNA, 793 nt
Filed under: uncultured bacterium
Lineage: Bacteria
Description: bacterial SSU rRNA
Rfam family: Bacterial small subunit ribosomal RNA
Source: RNAcentral